GAGGACUAGCCGGCCGUGUGCAGAGCAUCCUUUUUUGACCCUCAGAGAGCCCGGGCGGGAAAAGAGCGUCCCUCAAGAGGGCCUUGGCCCUCGUGGAUCUGGUUCUCUCAGGCCAGCGUUCCUUCGACGGGGACUCUCCUGGCGAGUUCCUAGCCGUUACCCUUUCCUCAGCUCAGCUCCUGGACCAUGGCUCUGGGUCACACAGCCUCCUGGGCUGCUCUUUCGUAUGCCACAUUUUUAUUCACUUUUGAGAGCCUAUGCGCCAUGCACCCUUCUAAUCCCUGAAUGGACGAAACAAAGCCCUUAGACUGACAUUCUAAUGGAGAACAGAAAUCAAGAUGAACGCUUCCUACGGUGAUGAGGAGAAAAGAGCCUCCCUGUGGUAUUCGGAGUCCUACACAACGAUUGGAGCCAAGCAGACAACCUGGACCCUGGAGGACAGAGACUCAUGUUGAGGAUGGUGGAUAAAUGGGAUAGAAGUCUGGAUCCUUAAUGAUUGUAGAGCCACCCUAUUAUCCUGGCCUGCUUCCCACUGACAUCUUGCAUAUGUAAGAAGAGAAAUACACUUCUGUCUUUUAAGCCACUGUUAUUUGGGUCUUCUGUCACAUGCAGCCAAAGCUAGUCCAAAAUGAUAUACGUACCAGGCAGGCAACCAUAUAUUGUUUGACAUGCCAAAAAAUCACACUUUAAUUUUGUUUAUUAUGUACAUUCUUGAGUCGUUGAAAACCCCAAAGAACAUGGCAUCAUAGUUGUAGAUUAUGUAGACUAUAAUUUAUAGUCCAUAAUUGUAGACUAUAAUUGGAUAACUACUUAAGAGUAUAAGCUGCAAAGAAGCCAAGGUCAUUAUUGCCAAAACAACAGGAG
Molecule: long non-coding RNA, 864 nt
Filed under: Equus caballus (horse)
Lineage: Eukaryota; Metazoa; Chordata; Mammalia; Perissodactyla; Equidae
Description: lncRNA (ENSECAG00000054932.1)
Source: RNAcentral